CCCCCCCCCCGCCCCCCCCCAAUCUAUCCAGGUCGACCUGGCGGCUGGACCCCUUUCAUCUCCUCGGCCUCGGGGUAGCUGGAUGAGAGGAGAGAAAGGAAACCAGGGGAAGUGGUGCAUGCGUGACGGUCUCCAGUGAACUGGAAACGACUUGUACGAAGCCACAGCGCAGCCUCCUGGUCAUUCCCCGCACGGCCUACUCACUCCCUGCCCUGCUGCGCUGCGUAGAGGCCAGUGUGACCUCUGCACUCCCCCUCUUAACCCCCCCGUAUACUCCCACUUUAAGGUUUCCGGGUCUUUCCUUGUCCUUCCUGUGCCCCCCUCCUGCUCACACCUUUGCAGGACUUCGCUGCGUUAUUUUUUUUCCCACCUCAUCUCCCUCGCACACCGUUUUUUACAUGUUUCCCUGUCUCAGAAAGCUUGCCUUGGCCCCCUCGCCUUCCUUCCUUUCCUUCCCCUCCCCACCGCUCCCUUCCUUGACUGAAGGCUGCUCGCCCAGGCACCAGACUCCACAGGCCUCUGCGGCUCCCGGCACUCUGGACCAGCCCCUUCUCAACAUCCUCCGCUUCUGUGGCCCAGGCUCGCCAGGUCUCUGACCCCCUCCUGCCCAUUCUCGUCACACCUCCAGCCAGCCUCGCCUGCCACUGCCCAGCUCACCAGUCUCUGGGCGUUCCCACUACCCAAAGGGCAGGGCUGGGAGCUGAGCAGGAAAACCAUCUGUGCUGGUGCGUGGGAAGCCUGUGCUCCGUUUCCCUGCAUGAAUGACGAAACGUUAAUGGGUCCUGGAACACAGGAAGUGCUCCGGGUACUUAACAGUUAAAAAACUCAUUCAGUCACCAGAACAGCUCUGAGGAAGCCAUUUUUGUGCCCGACAUGUGAGAUUACGAGAAAGAAGAGUUCCCUUUGAGGAUCUGGAAGGUCUGGAUUCAGACUCUGGAAACCUGCCCCCCAGAACCUGUACCUAUUAAAAUAGGCUUGGCGUCUACCAGCCCCGACUUCUGAAUGACUGGCUGAAUGUCCGACUCCUGCUGAGCAAAAUCACACCAAGGGCAAGCCCGGAAAGGAGCAGUUUCCUGAAGAUUGCCCAAACUAGCGGGCCUCUGUCAUAGGUCAACAGGCGUUUGGACGAGGCAGGGGAGUGCUCACUCAUGCUUCCACACCUGGAUUUGGGAGAAUGUGGUGCUCAGCCUUAUGCAAGUACAGGUCUUCCAGGUGCUCGGCCCCACCUUGCCCCUGAGGCCCUGGCCAUGGGCAGCAGGCUCCCUUCUCUGUAAGGCCAGAGCUGCUCCACCCAACAGGCCCACAGAGGGCUUUCUGUGCCGGGCAGUGAGGCAUCGGACAUGGCCUUCUCUCCAAGGGAUAUUAUGUGGGAGCUGCUGCUGGGGUGGUAAUGGGCAUGCGUGAGUGUAGGCCUCUGCGAUCUUAGGGAGCCUGGGGGGAGAGCUUCCCAGAAGAGGAGGCUGGGUCAGAGCCAGCAGAGAAGGGAAGGCCUCAGUCUCAGUAGCCGGGGCCACCUGCUUGCCCCUGGUCAGCAGCACCGGAGCAUGGACUGCAGAGGCAGGGAGAAAGGGGAGGUGCUUUGCAACGGUCCCAGCACCCAAGGCACCCUCCUGUCCUAGGAAGGUCCUGCCCAGGCACCAAUUGCUUGGCCCUGUCACCUGGAGGUGCGGUGCCUUCAGCUUUACCAGCUGAGUGGAAUGGCUGUGUGACCUUCCCGGGUGGGCGUUUCCAGCUCUAGGGUCCCGCUUGGUGUCAGGCCACAGGGUUGUCUGCCCCUAAACUGUGGUGACUUGUCCCAAAUGAUGGAUCUUGGUAAAGAUGCUUCCACAGGCUUGUGUCUGUUCCUCAAGAGGUUGCUGCCUGGCCUUCCAGGGCUGACUGGGCCUCCUGCAGUUCUCAUUCGUCCGGGCGCUCUCUAAUCCAGAGAACCGAAUACCUUUGGCGCCAUUUUGGCUCUUUGGGAACUCAGCGAGACCUGGCGUUUCCUCCUCUGAGGCUGCAGUGCAAAGGUAUGUUCAUCCUCAGAGUGCUUUUGGGGUCUCCGGGGUGACCCAGGGAAACCCGCAAUGGGCGGUGUAGAAUAAGGACUGUGGAAUAACUUAGAAAAAGUCAAGGCUACCUGUAAGUGGAUACUGGCCUGGUGAAGUUACCAAUUUUAGAGAGCCCAGCUUUGGAGGAGGAGGAAAAUAAAGCAGAACUCACAGAGGUCUGAGACCAUUAUUUCUUCAUUCCGCUUUCUUCCUGUGCUCUGCAUCUCGUAUUUCCGCAGGGGCUUCAAAGGCAUGGUUUAAUAACUAGCAAAAUAAAUGAUCACCUUGGACUAU
This is a long non-coding RNA of Neofelis nebulosa (Clouded leopard), 2324 nucleotides long. RefSeq lists it as uncharacterized. The transcript has 2 exons. The record is from RefSeq and is a predicted model, not a curated record. NCBI's taxonomy places the organism in Eukaryota, Metazoa, Chordata, Mammalia, Carnivora, Felidae.